RNAcentral lists this ribosomal RNA (423 nucleotides) under uncultured beta proteobacterium. Its description in RNAcentral is "bacterial SSU rRNA". It matches the Rfam family "Bacterial small subunit ribosomal RNA", at positions 608 to 1029 of the family's 1533-position model. Lineage: Bacteria; Pseudomonadati; Pseudomonadota; Betaproteobacteria. The record is from RNAcentral.
CUUAACCUGGGAACUGCGCUUGUGACUGGCAGGCUUGAGUACGGCAGAGGGGGGUGGAAUUCCACGUGUAGCAGUGAAAUGCGUAGAGAUGUGGAGGAACACCGAUGGCGAAGGCAGCCCCCUGGGCUGAUACUGACGCUCAUGCACGAAAGCGUGGGGAGCAAACAGGAUUAGAUACCCUGGUAGUCCACGCCCUAAACGAUGUCGACUAGUCGUUCGUGAGGGUAACCUUGUGAGUGACGCAGCUAACGCGUGAAGUCGACCGCCUGGGGAGUACAGCCGCAAGGUUAAAACUCAAAGGAAUUGACGGGGACCCGCACAAGCGGUGGAUGAUGUGGAUUAAUUCGAUGCAACGCGAAAAACCUUACCUACCCUUGACAUGCCUGGAAUCCUUGAGAGAUCAGGGAGUGCCUUCGGGAGCCA